Non-coding RNA from Salvelinus sp. IW2-2015, 891 nucleotides. The record is from RefSeq and is a predicted model, not a curated record. Lineage: Eukaryota; Metazoa; Chordata; Actinopteri; Salmoniformes; Salmonidae.
UCGAGUUGGAGACGAGGCACAAAAAGUUGACCUUUGCCGUCGUAUGCAGUGAAGGAACUUCAGCAUAGAGUAGCAUAAGCUAUCGGAGGAAGCAUUAAUAACGAAUAGGCUGACGAAAUAAUAACGAAUAUAAUUAAAUAGGAUUAUUUUAUGCUAUCAUCACCAUGUGACAUUUGCGACCGUUUUUAUCCUGAAGUAUGACAGAUACAAUGUCUAGACUGUCCUCGGUUGCUUCUCUUCGACUACCAGCCAUUCAGCACCCGUUAUCAAGACUCAGAGAACCCAGAAACCCUCUCUCUCAGAGGCUACUCCCAGAGAUUACGCUGGGAGUGACGAAGUUGUACCGCCGCUGUUGCGGGAUGGGGGCCUCGACUUUUGUUCCGAGGUCAAAACACAAGAAGAACCACAGGUUAUCCGUAUGACAAUUCUCCGCCGAAGCAGAGCCGUUUCAGCCUGGUCUCGCAGCCAAUCCCCGAAGGAGUCGAAGUCUCAGUAGCCCUUGAUCCGGUUUAAACCACGGCUGCCCAUCUUUGGUCAGCGGGUGGCACCAGAGAGCAGGGGGAGCCGAGUCACCAGCAUAACCAGUACCAGCAUCACCAGUCAAACCAGUACCGUCAGCCAAACCAAUACCAGCAGAACCAGUAUCCUUACCAGAACUACUACCGCAGCCUCCUGCCCCGAGGCCCAGCUCAGGAUCCAAGUGGACCAGCUUGAGCACGAGCUAAGGCAGAACAUUCAAUUGUUAGGACACUUGAACCUUCAACGAAUGUUCAAGAACAACCAUCCGGAUGGAAAAGCACUGGCCAACAGAGAUGUGUUGCUGAUGAUCCUCACCAAGUUUCUGGGCAGAUUCAUCACACUGCAGCAGUACAGCCAGUUGCUGCUCCGGUU